GGGUUGUGAGGUUAAGCGACUAAGCGUACACGGUGGAUGCCCUGGCAGUCAGAGGCGAUGAAGGACGUGCUAAUCUGCGAUAAGCGUCGGUAAGGUGAUAUGAACCGUUAUAACCGGCGAUUUCCGAAUGGGGAAACCCAGUGUGAUUCGUCACACUAUCAUUAACUGAAUCCAUAGGUUAAUGAGGCGAACCGGGGGAACUGAAACAUCUAAGUACCCCGAGGAAAAGAAAUCAACCGAGAUUCCCCCAGUAGCGGCGAGCGAACGGGGAGCAGCCCAGAGCCUGAAUCAGUGUGUGUGUUAGUGGAAGCGUCUGGAAAGGCGCGCGAUACAGGGUGACAGCCCCGUACACAAAAAUGCACAUACUGUGAGCUCGAUGAGUAGGGCGGGACACGUGGUAUCCUGUCUGAAUAUGGGGGGACCAUCCUCCAAGGCUAAAUACUCCUGACUGACCGAUAGUGAACCAGUACCGUGAGGGAAAGGCGAAAAGAACCCCGGCGAGGGGAGUGAAAAAGAACCUGAAACCGUGUACGUACAAGCAGUGGGAGCACAGAGCAAUCUGUGUGACUGCGUACCUUUUGUAUAAUGGGUCAGCGACUUAUAUUCUGUAGCAAGGUUAACCGAAUAGGGGAGCCGAAGGGAAACCGAGUCUUAACUGGGCGUUAAGUUGCAGGGUAUAGACCCGAAACCCGGUGAUCUAGCCAUGGGCAGGUUGAAGGUUGGGUAACACUAACUGGAGGACCGAACCGACUAAUGUUGAAAAAUUAGCGGAUGACUUGUGGCUGGGGGUGAAAGGCCAAUCAAACCGGGAGAUAGCUGGUUCUCCCCGAAAGCUAUUUAGGUAGCGCCUCGUGAAUUCAUCUCCGGGGGUAGAGCACUGUUUCGGCAAGGGGGUCAUCCCGACUUACCAACCCGAUGCAAACUGCGAAUACCGGAGAAUGUUAUCACGGGAGACACACGGCGGGUGCUAACGUCCGUCGUGAAGAGGGAAACAACCCAGACCGCCAGCUAAGGUCCCAAAGUCAUGGUUAAGUGGGAAACGAUGUGGGAAGGCCCAGACAGCCAGGAUGUUGGCUUAGAAGCAGCCAUCAUUUAAAGAAAGCGUAAUAGCUCACUGGUCGAGUCGGCCUGCGCGGAAGAUGUAACGGGGCUAAACCAUGCACCGAAGCUGCGGCAGCGACGCUUAUGCGUUGUUGGGUAGGGGAGCGUUCUGUAAGCCUGCGAAGGUGUGCUGUGAGGCAUGCUGGAGGUAUCAGAAGUGCGAAUGCUGACAUAAGUAACGAUAAAGCGGGUGAAAAGCCCGCUCGCCGGAAGACCAAGGGUUCCUGUCCAACGUUAAUCGGGGCAGGGUGAGUCGACCCCUAAGGCGAGGCCGAAAGGCGUAGUCGAUGGGAAACAGGUUAAUAUUCCUGUACUUGGUGUUACUGCGAAGGGGGGACGGAGAAGGCUAUGUUGGCCGGGCGACGGUUGUCCCGGUUUAAGCGUGUAGGCUGGUUUUCCAGGCAAAUCCGGAAAAUCAAGGCUGAGGCGUGAUGACGAGGCACUACGGUGCUGAAGCAACAAAUGCCCUGCUUCCAGGAAAAGCCUCUAAGCAUCAGGUAACAUCAAAUCGUACCCCAAACCGACACAGGUGGUCAGGUAGAGAAUACCAAGGCGCUUGAGAGAACUCGGGUGAAGGAACUAGGCAAAAUGGUGCCGUAACUUCGGGAGAAGGCACGCUGAUAUGUAGGUGAAGUCCCUCGCGGAUGGAGCUGAAAUCAGUCGAAGAUACCAGCUGGCUGCAACUGUUUAUUAAAAACACAGCACUGUGCAAACACGAAAGUGGACGUAUACGGUGUGACGCCUGCCCGGUGCCGGAAGGUUAAUUGAUGGGGUUAGCGCAAGCGAAGCUCUUGAUCGAAGCCCCGGUAAACGGCGGCCGUAACUAUAACGGUCCUAAGGUAGCGAAAUUCCUUGUCGGGUAAGUUCCGACCUGCACGAAUGGCGUAAUGAUGGCCAGGCUGUCUCCACCCGAGACUCAGUGAAAUUGAACUCGCUGUGAAGAUGCAGUGUACCCGCGGCAAGACGGAAAGACCCCGUGAACCUUUACUAUAGCUUGACACUGAACAUUGAGCCUUGAUGUGUAGGAUAGGUGGGAGGCUUUGAAGUGUGGACGCCAGUCUGCAUGGAGCCGACCUUGAAAUACCACCCUUUAAUGUUUGAUGUUCUAACGUUGACCCGUAAUCCGGGUUGCGGACAGUGUCUGGUGGGUAGUUUGACUGGGGCGGUCUCCUCCUAAAGAGUAACGGAGGAGCACGAAGGUUGGCUAAUCCUGGUCGGACAUCAGGAGGUUAGUGCAAUGGCAUAAGCCAGCUUGACUGCGAGCGUGACGGCGCGAGCAGGUGCGAAAGCAGGUCAUAGUGAUCCGGUGGUUCUGAAUGGAAGGGCCAUCGCUCAACGGAUAAAAGGUACUCCGGGGAUAACAGGCUGAUACCGCCCAAGAGUUCAUAUCGACGGCGGUGUUUGGCACCUCGAUGUCGGCUCAUCACAUCCUGGGGCUGAAGUAGGUCCCAAGGGUAUGGCUGUUCGCCAUUUAAAGUGGUACGCGAGCUGGGUUUAGAACGUCGUGAGACAGUUCGGUCCCUAUCUGCCGUGGGCGCUGGAGAACUGAGGGGGGCUGCUCCUAGUACGAGAGGACCGGAGUGGACGCAUCACUGGUGUUCGGGUUGUCAUGCCAAUGGCACUGCCCGGUAGCUAAAUGCGGAAGAGAUAAGUGCUGAAAGCAUCUAAGCACGAAACUUGCCCCGAGAUGAGUUCUCCCUGACUCCUUGAGAGUCCUGAAGGAACGUUGAAGACGACGACGUUGAUAGGCCGGAUGUGUAAGCGCAGCGAUGCGUUGAGCUAACCGGUACUAAUGAACCGUGAGGCUUAACCUUACAACGCCGAAG
Molecule: ribosomal RNA, 2927 nt
Filed under: Escherichia coli
Lineage: Bacteria; Pseudomonadati; Pseudomonadota; Gammaproteobacteria; Enterobacterales; Enterobacteriaceae
Description: bacterial LSU rRNA
Rfam family: Bacterial large subunit ribosomal RNA
Source: RNAcentral